Molecule: long non-coding RNA, 376 nt
Filed under: Mytilus galloprovincialis (Mediterranean mussel)
Lineage: Eukaryota; Metazoa; Mollusca; Bivalvia; Mytilida; Mytilidae
Source: RNAcentral
AAACCAUAUAUAUUCUUGUAGGGGACAAUAAAACAAAUCAAAUGAAAUAAAAGGGAAGUCCCUAGGGGGUCACCCCAACCCCUCUUGUUUGAAAACUUGAAAACGGUCCAGAUCCCCACCCCUAAACCAUAUAUAUUCUUGUAGGGGACAAUAAAACAAAUCAAAUGAAAUAAAAGGGAAGUCCCUAGGGGGUCACCCCAACCCCUCUUGUUUGAAAACUUGAAAACGGUCCAGAUCCCUACCCCUAAACCAUAUAUAUUCUUGUAUGGGAUAAUAAAACAAAUCACAUGAAAUUAGAGGGAAGUUCCUGGGGGUCACCCCCACCCCGUUCAAUUUGAGAAUGUACUAUUAUCUUGUAAACGGUCCAGAUCCCCAC